ACGGGUGCGGAACACGUACACAACCUUCCUAUAAGUGGGGGAUAGCCCAUAGAAAUGUGGAUUAAUACCCCGUACGAUAAUGAAGUGGCAUCACUUUAUUAUUAAAGCUACGGCGCUUAUUGAUGGGUGUGCGUCUGAUUAGAUAGUUGGCGGGGUAAAGGCCCACCAAGUCUGCGAUCAGUAGCUGAUGUGAGAGCAUGAUCAGCCACACGGGCACUGAGACACGGGCCCGACUCCUACGGGAGGCAGCAGUAAGGAAUAUUGGUCAAUGGACGCAAGUCUGAACCAGCCAUGCCACGUGAAGGAUUAAGGUCCUCUGGAUUGUAAACUUCUUUUAUAGGGGGCGAAAAAAGGUCUUUCUAGAUCACUUGACAGUACCCUAUGAAUAAGCACCGGCUAACUCCGUGCCAGCAGCCGCGGUAAUACGGAGGGUGCAAGCGUUAUCCGGAUUCACUGGGUUUAAAGGGUGCGUAGGCGGGCAGUUAAGUCAGUGGUGAAAUCCUGGAGCUCAACUCCGGAACUGCCAUUGAUACUAUCUGUCUUGAAUAUGGUGGAGGUAAGCGGAAUAUGUCAUGUA
This 577-nucleotide ribosomal RNA is filed under the name Chitinophagaceae bacterium BvIRR136. RNAcentral's name for it is "bacterial SSU rRNA". It matches the Rfam family "Bacterial small subunit ribosomal RNA", at positions 102 to 677 of the family's 1533-position model. Lineage: Bacteria; Pseudomonadati; Bacteroidota; Chitinophagia; Chitinophagales; Chitinophagaceae. The record is from RNAcentral.